GGGUUAGAGUCCUAUAAUAAGUUGAAUAAGGCCUUUGGUCUGGGCUAGAGUCCUAGAAGCUGGGUUAGAGUCCUAGAAUAUUUUCCUUUAGGUCGGGUUGUAGUCCCGACUUGGGUUCCAGAGAGACUGUUGAUCUGAUCUUAAAUACAUUGCACUUUCAAUUUUACUUACUAAAAAGCCUUUUUAACUUUCAAUUUAAUUUUCUCUUAAAUACAUUGCACUUUCUAUUUUACUAAUUUCUUGCAUAUGUUUUCUUUUACUUAUCUAUUAUUUUAUUUUAUUGUAUGACAAUGUUUAUAUGUGAAGCACUUUGAGUCUGCCUUGUGUAUGAAAAGUGCUAUAUAAAUAAAGUUGCCUUGCCUUG
Long non-coding RNA from Gadus macrocephalus (Pacific cod), 364 nucleotides. RefSeq lists it as uncharacterized. The record is from RefSeq and is a predicted model, not a curated record. Lineage: Eukaryota; Metazoa; Chordata; Actinopteri; Gadiformes; Gadidae. The transcript is spliced from 2 exons.